UGCAAGUAUCCGCACCCCAGUGAGAAUACNCUUGCUUNCCUACUGNGAUNUCAAGGAGUCGGUAUCAGGCACACUAACUNUGCCCAAGACACCUAGCCACNGCCACACCCACAAGGGNAUCGCAGCAGUGAUUAACAUUGAACAUAAGCGACAGCUUGAUUCAGUUAAAGUAANAUANAAGCCGGCAAAUUUAGUGCCAGCCGCCGCGGUUACACUAAAAGGCUUAAGUUGACCUCNNCAUCGGCGUAAAGCGUGAUUAAAGNNCUAACAAAGANNNUAAAGUCGAACUAUAACUCAGCUGUAGCACNGCNUUGUUAUCAAGAAGCNCCAANNAACGAAAGUUACUUUAUUUAAAANCAACUUGAACUCACGACAGCUGGGANACAAACUGGGAUUAGAUACCCCACUAUGCCCAGCCGUAAACUUUGAAAUUACAUCCNNUAAUCGCCAGGGAACUACGAGCAAAGCUUAAAACCCAAAGGACUUGACGGUACCCCAUAUCCGGCUAGAGGAGCCUGUCCUGUAAUCGAUAACCCCCGUUUAACCUCACCAUUCUUAGCUCNNAUCAGUCUGUAUACCUCCGUCGUCAGCUUACCCCGUGAGUGUAAUUCCGUAGGCUUAAUGUCCAUAUAAACACAUGCNUUGUUCAACAAUACGUCAGGUCAAGGUGCAACUAAUAGAAUGGGAAGAGAUGGGCUACAUUUUCUAUCCNUAGAACAUANCGAAAAACUUNNUAUGAAACCCUAGUUAGAAGGAGGAUUUAGUAGUAAAAAGAAAAUANGAGAGUUCUUUUGAACUUGGCACUGGGGUGUGU
The sequence is a ribosomal RNA, 814 nucleotides long. It matches the Rfam family "Bacterial small subunit ribosomal RNA", at positions 173 to 1384 of the family's 1533-position model.